GACGAACGCUGGCGGCGUGCCUAACACAUGCAAGUCGAACGGGACCAGGGGCAACUCUGGUUCAGUGGCGGACGGGUGCGUAACACGUGAGGAACAUGACCUUCGGCGGGGGAUAGCCGG
This 120-nucleotide ribosomal RNA is filed under the name uncultured bacterium. RNAcentral describes it as "partial 16S ribosomal RNA". It matches the Rfam family "Bacterial small subunit ribosomal RNA", at positions 28 to 150 of the family's 1533-position model. The record is from RNAcentral.